CGAGAGAGAGAGAGAGAGAGAGAGAGAGAGAGAGAGAGAGAGAGAGAGAGAGAGAGGGAACGAAAUUGUGCGUGACAAUUAGUUGAGUUGAAACGUGUGUCGUGAAGCAUUGUCAUGUGAGAAUGUUGAUUUUAAUCCGUCGAUCUCAAUUGUUGAGGGAUUUCGAGCCGCGUCGCGAGAAAGAAGUCGCGAGUAAGAAACCGCCGCGAAUCCGGCUUUCUUCUUUUUACACUUUUGAAAUAUUUUGAGCUACAAACUCGAAGCUGAAUGAGAAUUGACUUAUCAAGGAUUUUUUUUUUACCUGUAUCGUGUGUUACGCGAGAUUUUGUGGGUAUGAAUUAUUAAUUUGAUGAUCGCAAACAACGUAUCCAUACAUAUUCUAAUUUGUAUCGAUGACGUGAAAUCGCAAGACAUUCUCUGUGGUGCAAAGAUACUCACAUAACGUCGUUCUCCGUUGAUUGUAGUGUAUGUUAAACUAUGCCGAGAAUAAAAAAACCUAAAAAUCGUGGGUAUCACACAUAUCCUUUUACGUGCCUUUAAAUAUUGAGUCAAUAUAUAAUUGCACACUUCGUGGUUAUCCCAGAAUUAGUGAAAGAUGGAUACGUAGUUUGUUAUCUCUUGUGAAAUUUGAAGUCGAGUUUCGUUAACAAUAAUGACAAAGUAUCGAUCAAGCUUCUGGAGAUAAGUGACUUUUCGCAAAUUAAAUUUCAGAAGGGAAAAUGAAACAUAAUAUGCCAUUAUAAGUCUACAAAGUAGAUUUUUGAGUGCAGAGUAAUUUUGAAAAAAUUACGAGAAAUGAUGACUUUCUUUCACCACAAGUUGACUCCAAACUUCGCGAGGAAUAACGUUCCGUGUUUAUUUAGCGUUAAUUCUGGGACAGCCAGUACAUUUAAGAUCUGCCCAAAAUUAUCGCGCACAUCAGGGAAAUGAGUCAAUACGAGAUUUUUCUUAUUUUACUCAUUCGAAAAACGCGAAUCCUCGUAAAAUUUUCAACGAAAUUUCUCGUGCAGUAUUCGCGUGUGAAAAAUUAAAUCUUAUUUUGAUGAAUUAUCAACACCUCGGCGAAAAAUAGAGUUAUGAGGAACAUGCAGGAACAUCGCGAUAAGGGCACGGUUAUAGGGCGAUGUUUAAAACUGUAAAAUCGUGAAAACGAAGAGAGUACGAAAGGUAACGUAACGAUACAUCGGUAACCGGCCUUUUGGGUGAUGAUGACUGAAUGAAGAUGAUCACAAUGGUAGACUAUGGUAAAACUAUGGGAACGUCCGCUGAUCCUCAAAACAGAAGAAAGUGAGAUAGAAAAAGUACGCAUUGCAGCAGUCAUAUCUUUCAGUUUCCUCGUAAUCAUGUCACCUCCUGGAAUACAGUAAGACUCGCUGAUCGUGAUGCCAAAGUGCAAAUUGGAAUCCUGUGGAUGAAUAUAUUAUGUCAUGAUGAAUUGAUAUCCGUACGUGAACGUGCCUCUGGAUGGAUACGAAGUGUUGAUGCAAAAUGAUGCACGUGAAAAGAUGAGCGAGAGAGCGAGAGCGAGAGAGAGAGAGAGAGAGAGGGGGGAGAGAAAGUUGAAAGAGUUGAAGAAAAUAUGAAAGGGAGAGAGCGAGAGAGAGAGAGAGAGAGAGAGAGAGAGAGAGAGAGAAAGCGAGCGAGAGAGAGAGAGCGAGAGAGAGAGUGAGAGAGAGAGAGAGAGAGAGAGAGAGAGUAUAUAUUUGCAGGAGAAUAUAAUUGCAAGUGAAAUGAUAUGGUGAUGAGGAUGAGCAUGAUGAUAAUGAUGAUGACAUUGCGCUGAGAGCAAGGGUUGCUAGACAGUGAGAGCGAGUGCUUUUUGAAAGCGUGGAGUUUUUUUCGUAAGCGUGCUGUUGAUAUUGCGAGAAUAUCCAUCGCGAUCGACGUUGAUCGUUGAUCGUUAAAUGCCGUGCUUUCGCGACAAGAGACAGGUAAUUCCAAGCUGUUACGAAUGCAGAAGUUAUGAUUGGAGAAUAGAUCUGCGGUCUUUUAUGAGAGGUCAUGGCUGAUAACAUAUGGCGAAGGACUAUAAAAUUAAAGUAAUCAUUGAUAUGAUACAUGAUGUUUAUAUCUAAAGUUUCUCAUGUGUUAUAAAUUAAUUAGUAUAGUAUAAUGUCUAACUGAGCUAUUUAUCAAGAUAUUUAUUUAAAAUUAUGAAAGUGUACAUACAAAGUCACAUCCAUACCAUACAUAUACACACAUAUUUAUCGUAGCUUAUAUGUAUAGAUUAUAUAUAAUGUAUAUUUCUGAUUUUCUCAGUAUGUGUGAUGACAGUAUUUUCUCAAAAUUACCAAUGGAAACAUUAAUAAUCUAUAAAGGCUGUUUUUUUUAAAGUAAUAUAAAUAUCUGUUGUUCAGAUAUAUAUGAGAACAAAUUUUAUUUGCCUG
RNAcentral lists this long non-coding RNA (2387 nucleotides) under Harpegnathos saltator (Jerdon's jumping ant). RNAcentral's name for it is "uncharacterized LOC109504212, transcript variant X1". The record is from RNAcentral. Lineage: Eukaryota; Metazoa; Arthropoda; Insecta; Hymenoptera; Formicidae.